GUCCACUUUGUAUCUCUUCAUGCAAGACAAUUAGCUGGGCAAGAACCAAGCAUGCAUUGAUGGAUCAACACUCCCCUCUUCAGUAUACAACACAACACCUUCAGGAUUGCUCUUAUUUUUAUAGUUGGAGACUGCCAAGAAUGCACUAAAGUUACUUUUCUUUUUCUCUUUUUGGUCCAUAACAAUGGUGGAUAGAAAAA
Molecule: long non-coding RNA, 200 nt
Filed under: Ricinus communis (castor bean)
Lineage: Eukaryota; Viridiplantae; Streptophyta; Magnoliopsida; Malpighiales; Euphorbiaceae
Description: long non-coding RNA (RCOM_LNC002028)
Source: RNAcentral